AACGAACGCUGGCGGCAGGCCUAACACAUGCAAGUCGAACGCCGUAGCAAUACGGAGUGGCAGACGGGUGAGUAACACGUGGGAACGUACCCUUCGGUUCGGAAUAACUCAGGGAAACUUGAGCUAAUACCGGGAUACGUCCGAGAGGAGAAAGAUGUAUCGCCGAGGGAUCGGCCCGCGUCUGAUUAGCUUGUUGGUGAGGUAACGGCUCACCGAAGGCGACGAUCAGUAGCUGGCUGAGAGGAUGAUCAGCCACAUUGGGACUGAGACACGGCCCAAACUCCUACGGGAGGCAGCAGUGGGGAAUAUUGGACAAUGGGCGCAAGCCUGAUCCAGCCAUGCCGCGUGAGUGAUGAA
This 357-nucleotide ribosomal RNA is filed under the name uncultured bacterium. Its description in RNAcentral is "bacterial SSU rRNA". It matches the Rfam family "Bacterial small subunit ribosomal RNA", at positions 29 to 412 of the family's 1533-position model. The record is from RNAcentral.